This 497-nucleotide ribosomal RNA is filed under the name uncultured bacterium. RNAcentral's name for it is "partial 16S ribosomal RNA". It matches the Rfam family "Bacterial small subunit ribosomal RNA", at positions 28 to 507 of the family's 1533-position model. The record is from RNAcentral.
GAUGAACGCUGGCGGCGUGCCUAAUACAUGCAAGUCGAGCGAACAGACGAGGAGCUUGCUCCCCUGACGUUAGCGGCGGACGGGUGAGUAACACGUGGAUAACCUACCUAUAAGACUGGGAUAACUUCGGGAAACCGGAGCUAAUACCGGAUAAUAUAUUGAACCGCAUGGUUCAAUAGUGAAAGACGGUUUUGCUGUCACUUAUAGAUGGAUCCGCGCCGCAUUAGCUAGUUGGUAAGGUAACGGCUUACCAAGGCGACGAUGCGUAGCCGACCUGAGAGGGUGAUCGGCCACACUGGAACUGAGACACGGUCCAGACUCCUACGGGAGGCAGCAGUAGGGAAUCUUCCGCAAUGGGCGAAAGCCUGACGGAGCAACGCCGCGUGAGUGAUGAAGGUCUUCGGAUCGUAAAACUCUGUUAUUGGGGAAGAACAAAUGUGUAAGUAACUAUGCACGUCUUGACGGUACCUAAUCAGAAAGCCACGGCUAACUACGUG